GGCUGAAGCAAAACUCUGCAGGGCUGUGGCUCUCCAGGACCGACGUUCGCCACCCCUGGUAUAGUAUGUUCAAAACCUGUAUGACUUUCAUCUGUGGAACAUAAAAAAAAAAAAAAAAAUAUAUAUAUAAAUCAUUGUAUGGACAAAAACAUUGUUAAAAAAAAUCUUGAAAAGUAUCACGAUUUAACAACUUAAGUUUAUAGUUUCUUGCUUGACACAAGAAGGCACCAGAUAGCAAGUUACAACUGCCAGUUUUGCUCAAAGCUGCACUUCUCAGCAAAUGUCAAUGUCAAACAUUAUAAGAGGAGGAACAUACCAAUAUAGCCGCUGAGUCAACUGACCUGCCAUAAAUGACUUCAGUCAAGCUCUGGCACGUAGAACAACAACAUGGAUCAGGAACUGCAUAGUAGUAUCGCUGAGCCACAGCACUGGCUCGUGGGGACGCCGGUGGGUGACAGGACAUAAUCCAAUCUGCUCUUGCUGAGUCAGUGCCUGGGAGAACUGCACCUUCGUGCCUCAAGAAAGAUCAGCUUACUUUUUCCUGCAUUCACAAUUCAUCAGUUCUACACUGAUAGCAUGAGGCUAAUCUCUACAGAGCUUUAAGGCAUUAGUGAGUGUGUAUCUCAUUCACCCUACAGGGAUCUGUAUUUGAGCACACAAUGGGAUUUACAGAUGUCAAAUAACAUGGAAGGCUAAAAACCAUAUGUAACUGCUUUGGGUACAAAUAAAUAAAUAAUAAUAGUAAUAAAUUGUUUUUGUUUGUUUUAUAAUUGUUACACUGUUUGUUACUGGAAAUUCUAUAAUAUGAUAGUCUGUUAAUAAGCAGCUGUGACAACUUACCCCACUGUAACAGCAUGCUAUUGGGGAAUGGUGUUGUCACACCCCGUGGACUGUUGAUUGUGGUUUCUCCCUCUUUGUCCAUAUUUGGUUUCUCCUGUUCUCGUUACUGUUGAUUGUGUUCUAGUUUGUUGGUUAUUGUGAAUGUCACCUUGCGUGCGUCUGUCUGGAUAGUACUUCUAUGUGGAUUAUUAAAGCUAUCUAUAAAUAUAUAUAUAAAGAUAUUAUUGUUAUCUUCUUCGUCAUUCUGCCUGAUCAUACGCCACACCAUCCUGUGACAGAAUAACCGACCCAAACAUAAACUAUUUAAGUGGCAUCUUCCCCUCGUUUUGUUUUCCGGUUUUGUCAGUUUUUGGUUUUUGUAAUGGAUGAGCCUGCCAUCCUUGUCCUCCUGCUGGAGCAGGGGGAAUCACUCUCUUGAGGACCACACCUAAAGACUUUGUUCCUUGUUAACCUCACACACUACCCGGACAACUGCCUCUGCUCAUUCUAUCAAGCUGGACUUAACGCCAUCACACAACCACAGUUGUCCGGGGAUAGUCCUCGACAGAGCAUCACUUCCUUCAUCGAGUGGGUGCUGUUGUCCUGCAAGUCACAUCUGACCAUGGACCCCACGGAUCACAACACCAGCCCCACUCAGGACCCAGAGCCCAGUCAAGGACCCCAUGGCGGGGAGCUGCCCAAGCC
Long non-coding RNA from Cyprinus carpio carpio, 1524 nucleotides. Lineage: Eukaryota; Metazoa; Chordata; Actinopteri; Cypriniformes; Cyprinidae. The record is from Ensembl.